Molecule: long non-coding RNA, 349 nt
Organism: Austrofundulus limnaeus
Lineage: Eukaryota; Metazoa; Chordata; Actinopteri; Cyprinodontiformes; Rivulidae
Exons: 4
Source: RefSeq, a predicted model, not a curated record
CACACACACACACACACACACACACACACACACACACACACACACACACACACACAGAGGAACUUCAUCGUCCUACUUUACCUUUUAGUAGCAGAUUUAUCCUGGUUUCCCAGACGUCACCAGGACGAAUGGAGCUGAUCCUAACUCAGGUCUGAGGUGGUCAGGGUGAAGGAGUGGAGGACUCUGCAAGCUGGCCUGCAGAGACACUAACGAGGGACCAGAACCACCCGGACUCUUCGAUGGGCGGGGUGUCAAAGUGUCUAGGUUUUAUGGUCGUGCUCGAGCUGUUUUAGUUCAACCCAAAUCCAUUCCUAAGCCUCUCUCCACCGGGUGCCUUUCCUCGCUCCUU